AUGUGUCCAACCUCAUUUCCAAGUCCAGCUUUCUCCACCACCACGUGGGCUCCACAUGAGGCUGUGCUUGGGCAUACCUUCCAGCUGAGCUGCAGCAGGCUGCAAAGAGGGAGAGCCCAGCUCUCACUCACUUGGCAGGAAGGGAGCAAGAGAUGUUUUCAUCUCCAGCCUCGACCUCCAGCAGCUCUUCUGAACUUGGUUGUUCCUGAGCACCAGCUAAUCAGCCAAAAAGGAGUGGGUUUGCCUUUUUGGCAGAGCAAACUCUCUCUCCCCAGCUGUCUUCAGCUCUCCCCGCGGGCACGGCCAUGUGCUCCUUCAUGUGAAGGAAGUGUUGUUUGCCGUCCUGCCUCGUUUUGCAGGCAGGACACGGGAGCACCCAGGGAUGUGUCAACAGAGAUGAACUGGUGUCUGCUCCUGGGGAAGCGCAGACCCCCUCUGCUUAGGAGCCAAGGUAGCUCUGAAGCUCCACCUCAUGUUGCAGGCCUCAGACUUGAGGAUCUCUACCAAGAAGGAAGCACCCUGUGUGCAAGGAACGCCUCGGAAAAGAACAAAUCAAACCCCCGAAGCCAAUUGCAUGUUUCCUAUAUCUCUUUAUUGACUGCCAGUGACCGAGUUCUCAGGCUGAGUGCCAGAUACCAGUGGAUCAGGUGGAGCUACGCUAGAAGUACAGCGAGGGCAAGAGCAAGGGGGUGA
RNAcentral lists this long non-coding RNA (693 nucleotides) under Anas platyrhynchos platyrhynchos (common mallard). RNAcentral describes it as "lncRNA (ENSAPLG00000020263.1)". Lineage: Eukaryota; Metazoa; Chordata; Aves; Anseriformes; Anatidae. The record is from RNAcentral.